UACGGAGGGGGUUAGCGUUGUUCGGAAUUACUGGGCGUAAAGCGCGCGUAGGCGGACUAGUAAGUCAGAGGUGAAAUCCCAGGGCUCAACCUUGGAACUGCCUUUGAUACUGUUAGUCUUGAGGGAGAUAGAGGUGAGCGGAACUGAUGGUGGAGCGGUGAAAUGCGUUGAUAUGUGGAAGAACACCGGUGGCGAAGGCGGUUUUCUAGCUUAUACCUGACGCUGAGGCGCGAAAGCAAGGGGAGCAAACAGG
RNAcentral lists this unclassified non-coding RNA (253 nucleotides) under uncultured Paracoccaceae bacterium. RNAcentral describes it as "uncultured Rhodobacteraceae bacterium contains 16S-23S intergenic spacer region". It matches the Rfam family "Bacterial small subunit ribosomal RNA", at positions 524 to 776 of the family's 1533-position model. The record is from RNAcentral. Lineage: Bacteria; Pseudomonadati; Pseudomonadota; Alphaproteobacteria; Rhodobacterales; Paracoccaceae.